Molecule: ribosomal RNA, 721 nt
Filed under: uncultured Acidobacteriaceae bacterium
Lineage: Bacteria; Pseudomonadati; Acidobacteriota; Terriglobia; Terriglobales; Acidobacteriaceae
Description: bacterial SSU rRNA
Rfam family: Bacterial small subunit ribosomal RNA
Source: RNAcentral
ACUCCUACGGGAGGCAGCAGGGGGAAUUGUUCACAAUGGGCGCAAGCCUGAUGACGCAACGCCGCGGGGGGAUGAAGGUCUUCGGAUCGUAAACCCCUGUCGAAUGGGACGAAAGACUCGCGAGUUAAUACUCCGCGAGAGUGACGGUACCGUUAAAGGAAGCCACGGCUAACUCUGUGCCAGCAGCCGCGGUAAUACAGAGGUGGCAAGCGUUGUUCGGAAUUACUGGGCGUAAAGGGCGCGUAGGCGGCCAUCUAAGUCAGACGUGAAAUCCCCCGGCUUAACCUGGGAACUGCGUCUGAUACUGGGAGGCUUGAGUAUGGGAGAGGGAUGUAGAAUUCCAGGUGUAGCGGUGAAAUGCGUAGAUAUCUGGAGGAAUACCGGUGGCGAAGGCGGCAUCCUGGACCAUUACUGACGCUGAGGCGCGAAAGCUAGGGGAGCAAACGGGAUUAGAUACCCCGGUAGUCCUAGCCCUAAACGAUGAAUACUUGGUGUGGCGGGUAUCGAUCCCUGCCGUGCCGAAGCUAACGCAUUAAGCAUUCCGCCUGGGGAGUACGGUCGCAAGGCUGAAACUCAAAGGAAUUGCUGGGGGCCCGCACAAGCGGUGGAGCAUGUGGUUCAAUUCGACGCAACGCGAAGAACCUUACCCUGGCUUGAACAGCGAGUGACCACUCAUGAAAAUGAGCUUCCGCAAGGACACUCGUAGAGGUGCUGCAUGGCU